This 574-nucleotide ribosomal RNA is filed under the name uncultured bacterium. Its description in RNAcentral is "partial 16S ribosomal RNA". It matches the Rfam family "Bacterial small subunit ribosomal RNA", at positions 355 to 920 of the family's 1533-position model. The record is from RNAcentral.
UGGGGAAUUUUGGACAAUGGGCGAAAGCCUGAUCCAGCAAUGCCGCGUGUGUGAAGAAGGCCUUCGGGUUGUAAAGCACUUUUGUCCGGAAAGAAAUCCUUGGCUCUAAUACAGUCGGGGGAUGACGGUACCGGAAGAAUAAGCACCGGCUAACUACGUGCCAGCAGCCGCGGUAAUACGUAGGGUGCAAGCGUUAAUCGGAAUUACUGGGCGUAAAGCGUGCGCAGGCGGUUUGCUAAGACCGAUGUGAAAUCCCCGGGCUCAACCUGGGAACUGCAUUGGUGACUGGCAGGCUAGAGUAUGGCAGAGGGGGGUAGAAUUCCACGUGUAGCAGUGAAAUGCGUAGAGAUGUGGAGGAAUACCGAUGGCGAAGGCAGCCUCCUGGGCCAAUACUGACGCUCAUGCACGAAAGCGUGGGGAGCAAAACAGGAUUAGAUACCCUGGUAGUCCACGCCCUAAAACGAUGUCAACUAGUUGUUGGGGAUUCAUUUCCUUAGUAACGUAGCUAACGCGUGAAGUUGACCGCCUGGGGAGUACGGUCGCAAGAUUAAAACUCAAAUGAAUUGACGGGGUC